Molecule: unclassified non-coding RNA, 712 nt
Filed under: Zea mays
Lineage: Eukaryota; Viridiplantae; Streptophyta; Magnoliopsida; Poales; Poaceae
Description: misc RNA Zm00001eb227510
Source: RNAcentral
CUGCGGAUGGUGAUGAAGGUGAAGAGGAAGGGGAGCAGAUUGAUGUAGGCCCCCUACCAAGUUCUGGGACAAAAACCAAGCAAACAAAAAAGCAAAUUGCUCAAGCUUCCAUGUCUUCAUUUGUUGUAGCAGCUCCUAUAAAACCAAAUACACAGAAGGCAAGCAAAUCAGUGAGUGCCAUGCUUUGCAAGACUCCAGAGGAAGUUGUAGCAGAGAGACAUAAAAAUAGAACUUCUCAGACCACUCUUGAGCAUUGCACAAAGAAAGGAACAGAAGCAAAGCAAAUUGUUGACGACCAUGUAGCUGAUUUUCUAUAUGAGAACAAGAUUCCAUUGAAUGUCGUCAAUUCAAGAAGCUGGCAGAUUAUGAUGGAGUCCAUUGGUCAGUAUGGUCCUGGAUAUCGUGGCCCAUCAUACUAUGAGGCAAGGGUACCUUGGCUUGAAAGGGCAGUGAAGAGAACAUCAACAUUGAGAGCUAAGCACGAAGAGGCUUGGAAGGAAUAUGGUUGCUCAAUUAUGUCAGAUGGGUGGACUGACAUACGACAACGGCAUUUGAUAAACUUCCUUGCCAACAGUCCAGCGGGGACCUACUUCUUAGGUUCUGUCGAUGCAUCAAGUGAGAUAGCAAAUGCCAAUAUGUUGGCAGAUCUAUUGGAGAAGCAAAUAAUUAAGGUGGGGAAAGAACAUGUGGUCCAAGUGAUCACUGACAAUGG